UACGAAGGGGGCUAGCGUUGCUCGGAAUCACUGGGCGUAAAGCGCACGUAGGCGGGUCCUUAAGUCAGGGGUGAAAUCCCGGAGCUCAACUCCGGAACUGCCUUUGAUACUGGGGAUCUUGAGUCCGGAAGAGGUGAGUGGAACUCCGAGUGUAGAGGUGAAAUUCGUAGAUAUUCGGAAGAACACCAGUGGCGAGGGCGGCUCACUGGUCCGGUACUGACGCUGAGGUGCGAAAGCGUGGGGAGCAAACAGG
This 253-nucleotide ribosomal RNA is filed under the name uncultured bacterium. RNAcentral's name for it is "partial 16S ribosomal RNA". It matches the Rfam family "Bacterial small subunit ribosomal RNA", at positions 524 to 776 of the family's 1533-position model. The record is from RNAcentral.